CAUUUGAUGGCCGAAAAUAAGCACAUAUCUUUUAAAUAUGUUAUAGUACUACUACUUCAGGUGA
Molecule: transfer RNA, 64 nt
Filed under: Gastroptychus rogeri
Lineage: Eukaryota; Metazoa; Arthropoda; Malacostraca; Decapoda; Chirostylidae
Description: tRNA-Lys
Source: RNAcentral